GUAGGGGAUCUGUCUCUGGGGUGCAUGUAGUUGACAUGGUCUCCACUGACAUUCAGGGCAGUAGAGGUCGUCUCUAUGUGCUGAUCCAACAUCUGGUCUGGAUAUGGACUGGAUCUGGGUGUCUACAGUGACCAUCCAAUCAGGAUACAGACUGGAUCCGUAUGGCUACAUGAAGGUAGAGGUUUGGCACUUUUGUAGUCCAGAAGCUGCUCUCCUCCCAUCUUUGGCUUUACGGACACGUUGAGUCUACCAGAGGCCAUGGUGACUUCAUUUUCUUCAAGACCACACAAGCAAGCAAGUUUGCAGUCUUUAACAUAUGGAAAUAUAAUAGUCAUCUAUUCAAACAACUCCUUUUAAAUGUAAUGCUGUUAAGAUCACUUUUAAUAUCACAUGCUAUUGUCCUCGGGUCACUUGGAGUUUGAGUUGGAUGUGCUGUUGUCCUGUACCUUGCCAUGAGGCCAAUUCAGGUAAAAGCAAAGUAUUUCAAGCUCUUCUAGCCUCAUAUGCACUUGGCCUUUGGAAAUGGCGAGAAUGUUUCUUGAGUAAUCUUAACUAUUUGAAAUGAAUCUGUAACUAGGGGGUUUCUAUUUUGCAUGUUGGUCACUUUACAGGGUUGAGCUUUUUUCCCUCAAAAGCUUUAUAAUGGUGAAUGUAGCCAACCUUUAAUGCAGCUUUUAAUUGAUCAAUGCUAGGUAUAGUAAUUGUUGAGGAUCAGGGCAGAUUGCAGCUAAAGCCAGUAAAGCUCAGAUAUAGGGGUGCCUCAUUGUUGGCGAUUAGAAAUAAGGGAGUGGAAAUGCGUUUAGCCAUGUGUUAAAAAGCUUUAGGUUACACUUUCAAUCCCUCAAUUGUUAUUGUUGGUCUCCAUUUAUACUCUCGAAAGCUGUGGGGGAUCAUGGCCAUCCUUAAACGCAUAAUGAUCAACCAAAGUUAGGUUUAUUGUUUGAGGAGCGGAACAGUAGUCGGUCACCUGCAGGUGCAGGUGCAAAUCCAAAACUGCAAGCCCCGAUAUCAGCCCCAAACUUGGUGAUAAGAAAUUAUGUGCAAGAGGUGACUUAAUGUGCGCACAAGGUUUGAAGAUGGUUGAUUUUAUUGGUGUGCUAA
This 1101-nucleotide long non-coding RNA is filed under the name Sinocyclocheilus grahami. RNAcentral's name for it is "lncRNA (ENSSGRG00000000629.1)". Lineage: Eukaryota; Metazoa; Chordata; Actinopteri; Cypriniformes; Cyprinidae. The record is from RNAcentral.